CCUACGGGAGGCUGCAGUGGGGGAUAUUGCACAAUGGGGGGAACCCUGAUGCAGCGACGCCGCGUGGGUGAAGAAGCGCCUCGGCGCGUAAAGCUCUGUCAGCAGGGAAGAAAAUGACGGUACCUGAGGAAGAAGCCCCGGCUAACUACGUGCCAGCAGCCGCGGUAAUACGUAGGGGGCAAGCGUUAUCCGGAUUUACUGGGUGUAAAGGGGGCGCAGACGGCGUGGCAAGUCUGGAGUGAAAGCCCGGGGCUCAACCGCGGGACUGCUUUUGAAACUGUGAGGCUGGAGUGCAGGAGGGGCAGGUGGAAUUCCUGGUGUAGCGGUGAAAUGCGUAGAUAUCAGGAGGAACACCAGUGGCGAAGGCGGCCUGCUGGACUGCAACUGACGUUGAGGCCCGAAAGCGUGGGGAGCAAACAGGAUUAGAUACCCGAGUAGUC
This 440-nucleotide ribosomal RNA is filed under the name uncultured bacterium. RNAcentral describes it as "partial 16S ribosomal RNA". It matches the Rfam family "Bacterial small subunit ribosomal RNA", at positions 338 to 795 of the family's 1533-position model. The record is from RNAcentral.